Long non-coding RNA from Pezoporus flaviventris, 3645 nucleotides. RefSeq lists it as uncharacterized. The transcript is spliced from 3 exons. The record is from RefSeq and is a predicted model, not a curated record. NCBI's taxonomy places the organism in Eukaryota, Metazoa, Chordata, Aves, Psittaciformes, Psittacidae.
GUUGAGGAGAUAGGUCUCAGGAGUAUCUGUUCUUACCUACCACUAAUAUACUGCUUAGUGCUGUCCCCCAGAAGGUCCAGCUUGCACCCAUAUGAAAGUAAUACAUGCAAAGGCAGCAUUUACAGCCUGAAAAAACAGCAGCUUAAAGCCUGGUGGGUUUCCUGAGCCCCUGCAGGUGGAAAGCAUGAGCCCUGGCUUGGCUUUAAUUUUUAAGUCAACUUUCAGCCUUUUCACAUGAGGGGCAUGUCCACAGGCUAUGGCCCAUCCCAAGAGGACUGCCAGUCUGGAGAGGCAGUAUCAAAGCUCAUAGUCCUUGGGUUAAGCCCUCAGGGUGUUGAGCCCCACAGUGGAAUAUCGAGCAGGACCACAUCUCCUGAGCAGUGGCAGGGUGGAGGGUGGGAAAGAGGCAGAGAUUUGCCCUCAUUAUGCAUGGGUCUAACAUGCCCAAUUACCCCAUCCUCUCCUCACCUCCAUAAUGUAAAAGGCUGUUGUUGAGAGUGGUCAUAAUUCACGGUGAACACUCUGCUUCCCCCUUACUCCCUUCACACCCACUGCUCUCCACUUUCCUUCCAGAAAAAAAACGUGUCUUUGAUGAAAUGAAAUGGCUCAGUCAAAGAACCCCUCAAAUGGUUGGGGACCCCUGCACUUGGCCACCCUUGCCCACUUCCCAGCUCUAUUUCUGGCUGAGUUUGGAGUUUAAGUGGGCUGACCUUGUGCCCUGACUGCCCCGGGGGUCAGUGAUGAAAGCGGAUGGAGGCUUCACAGUCAGGUCUCUUGUGUGUGACUCUUUUGUUCCCAGGACAAGGGUGUGCAGUGCCUGGGACAGUGCUUAAUUGUUCAGGGGGCAUUGCUUUACCCAUCAUGCCCUUCCCCGGGUGGCCCCAGCCCUUCUUGCUCAUGAGUGGGAGGGAGGCAGCUUCCCCACUUGGGGUAGGGAGCAGGAAGCAGAGUCUGAGUUACUCAGCAUCAUUUCUGGCUUUUUAUCAAUCCGUGUAAUAAAUUCUGUGGAGUGCCAGAAAGCCAAAAAAAAAAAAAAAAAAAAAGGGAAAAAUAUAAAAAUAACUUCCUUACAAUCUGUGACUCCGGUCUGUCACUUGAUGCAUCCUUCAUUGUCCCACCAUGCAGGCAAAAGCAGUAUCACCAGGUACCAGCCAGCUCCUGCAUCCAUCCGCUGUGCUCUGUGGGGUGCACUCUGCUACCGAGAGCUCCCUCUGCCCUUUUGCAGGUGUUUAAUGAGGAAACCUUCAUGUGCCAGGGCUGAGGCACUGCGCUUAGCUCCAUUGGAGGUAAUGGGUUCACACCAGAAGCUUUGGUUGGGGCAUAUCAACCAAGCUGGGCUGUAGUGUGGGGAAGCAAGCCCAGAGAUGGAUGUAGUGAGGCUUCUGGAAGGCUUUGUUUUCACCUGAGCUGGACACCCCCUUCUAGAACUGCCCUGAGGACACAUAGAGGAGGAGUGGGUUUACUGUCGAUAUGACAGGGCAGGGAAAAGAUGCUAGACAACCUGUGGGUGUGGUGAUAAAGAGCUGAAGGUUUACAAAGGUCCCUGAUGGAGGUAAGUCAGCAGAGCUCAGUGUAAGCAUGUGGGAAGAUUUGUACUACUCAAUACCUCUUUGGCUGCCCCCUCAGUAUCUUUCUUCUCUCAGUGGGUCUUUCAUGUGCUUUACAUCCUCAUUACAGCUGGAGGCUGGGUCAGGAGCCUCCACAGCACGCCCUCACCUCUCCUGUUUCGGGGAGUGACUGCACAGAGGAAAUGGAUAAAAGGAGUGGAGGGUCAGGGUUUAAUUACCACAUUGCGUGCAGAGACGAGUGAUGGACAGAGACUGUCAGUGGGUCACUGAUUAGCUGCCAUGGAGCAGACAGAGGAGGGGGAAAAUGUGAUGAGCCCCCAGGACAGGCCAGUGUCAGGGAGUCAUGAGGUAUGGAGAUGGCAGCUUGUAAUGGGGGACACUUUCUUCAAGUUGUUCCCCCAGUCCUUCAUCCCCUCCUUGUUCCUGGUCUAACAGGAGCCCUCUGGGCUCAAAAACCUCCUGCUGGGCCCUGGCUGCUUCACUGGUCAGGGAUGAGGGCUGUUGGGGUGGAAAGGGGAAGAAGGUGGUAAUCUCCUGCAGACUGUGUUGACCUCUUGUCUUACUGUGGGGAGGCAGUAAAGAAGGAUGGAGGGAGUGAGGGAAGAAGGAAAGGAGGAACAAAAGGGUAGGAGGGAAGGGAAGGGAAGGAAAGGAAAGGAAGAAGGCUUAAGGGGAAGGCUGCUGGCAGGUGAGGUAUAAUACACACAGAGUGCUCCUCUGUGCAAGUGUGAAGGUUUCCUGCACAAAAAUCAGCCCAGGCAAAGUUGAAACCAGGCUGCCUGUCUCCAGUCCCACUGCCUCAUCACUGCCUCCCUUGGACGUGGCUGAACGCCUCAGAGAUCCAUCUGGAUUCUAGUCAAGAGGAUCUGCUGGAGGCAAAACAAUAAGGCACAACAUGUGAGGAAGAACUGAAGAAUGGGUGCAUCUGUAUGGGUAUGAUGUGCAGGGUGUUUCGGGGGACCGAGGCUGUUAACCUGUUUGAGAUCAAGUGCCACAAGCUCUUAAAGCCAUGAUGACCUCUGUGAGAGACAGACAUUUCUACCUGAAGACACAGUUCAAGUGUCUCAGAGCUGAGCUUCUGUUGCCUUGCAGCUGGCACAUCCUGCUUUACCCCCUUACUGGGUUAGACUUUGAGUGCAACUGGACAGGCUGGACUGUACUAAUCCCUGAAUGGAGCAUGGCUUGAGUUUGCCCAGAAUGGCCUGGGUAUGGCUGGCUUGGCAUGAGUUACACUGGCUUUGAUCUGACUGAGCCAAACUUAACAUGGACUGAGUGCAAUCUGAAUGCAGGUUUGAGAUGGCAUCUUGAGAUGAGCGUGUUCUGAGUAGGCUAGACCUGACGGGAUUAGCUGCCUUACACUGUGUUGGACUUGGAGAUGAAAACAAGACUGCUUUGAACCGAGUUAAUAUUCAUGGUGGAUGGGAGCAGGCUGAUGGGAAGAGUUUGCCUGGAUACAGUGCUGCAAGUGACUUCGCUGGUUUAAAAGCCUCAUUUUGCUUUUACCAAAACCUGUUGCACCAUUUAGGAAUCCAAAUGCUGAACCAACUUUCCAUGGGUAGGAAAAAGAUUAUUCAGCAAGUGCUGAAAUAGGUUCCCCAAAAGGCUGACAAAAAUCUUUAGCUCCUCAGUGUCCAACAGCUCUCGGCCAUCUCCUUCUUUUACAGCCUCUGAGUGGUUCAUGCCAGAACAUCUGCAUCUUCUUCCUGAAGAAGCCUUAAAAAGGAAAAUGCUCAGAGAAAUUCCCAAAUGAGGGGUGGCUGCUGGUGUUUGAAUUGCUAAACUCAUUGUGUGACCAGAUUUUUCCAAGGAAAACCUUAUAACUCUUCAUAUUUGUAAUCCAGAAGUCCUAUGAAGUCCCCUCGCACUGGACUGGAGGAAAGGAGACAAGUUGAAACUGGCUGUUUCAUCUGAACAAGCAGUGAUCCUGACUGCUGGUAGGAAUUAUUCAUUCUUUCUUUUCAGAGGUUACAUGAAGAUGCUUUGGAUGACACUGGGUAUGGAGGUACCUGUUGGAUAUCUGACUGAGGGAAGACAGAAUUAAGUCUGGGAACUUCCUAUAGUGGAGAAGCCAAUCAGA